GGAAACUACAGCUGUGUUUAUCACCUCCAUGUUUUUGGACACAACUUCUGGUCAGAGAGCCGCCUGCUGUCUCUGUCUGUGUCCGAUCCAACAGCUGUGGUGGUCAGAUGGGUGGUGGUGCCGCUGUCUCUGCUGCUGGUGCAGGGGGCGCUGUGGCUGUACUUUAAGGCCAGCAGGGGGCAGACCGGCAGACCGGGCGGACGCUGAGCGGAGUGCAGUGGAGGGAUGAAGUCGGUCCUCUGAACCUUCCUGCUGUGAAGACCAGAUGGUUUUUAUGAGCUUCUUACAGCAAUGAUGAAUCUCAACAGGUUCCCACAGACAGUGGAACAAGGUUCCUUUUCCUUUUGUGGACCCUGGUGGAAAAAGAGCCUUGUUUUGCUGUAUAUUGGACCACGGUGGAUGUCCUUUUUUAAUCUCCUUUUUACCCUUUUUACUCCUUUUUCAUUGAUGUUUUUCAGUCAUUUCAUGGAUGCUCAUUUCAUCAUAUACUACCAUCUGCUCCGCUCAGGCUGACUGUGUUGAACUGAGGAGAUAUUUUUGUGAUUGUAAUCCAACUUAUUAGCUUGUUCUGCACCAAGAUGAGGCAGGAUGUGGUUUGCAGCAGGUGUUGAACUGUAUGGAACCGGACCAGUUUGUAUUACGUCCUGAGUGGUUCGAUC
Salarias fasciatus (jewelled blenny) is the source of this 659-nucleotide long non-coding RNA. RefSeq lists it as uncharacterized. The record is from RefSeq and is a predicted model, not a curated record. The transcript is spliced from 3 exons. NCBI's taxonomy places the organism in Eukaryota, Metazoa, Chordata, Actinopteri, Blenniiformes, Blenniidae.